Molecule: long non-coding RNA, 403 nt
Filed under: Homo sapiens (human)
Lineage: Eukaryota; Metazoa; Chordata; Mammalia; Primates; Hominidae
Description: non-protein coding LINC00894:34
Source: RNAcentral
AAUCUGACACACCAUAGCCUGAAUUCUCACCAGUUUGCUCCUGGAAAGGCCCGCUCAUGCAUGAGCCCCUGCCACUCUUCUAAAUAAGCUUCCAGGCAUUACCUGCAUGCUGUGUUCCUGUGGUGGGAUGGCAGUAAUCUCUGCUAAGAUAAACGGGAGCUUCUGUGGAUAAAGCAUAAACGCAGUGAAGUGUGUGUGGCUGGAAGAUUUAAUGCCUCUACAGUGCUUAGAUACAAGUUGAGCUUGGAAUUCCAGAGGCACGGAAGCCAAUGACUUGGGCAAAUGCCCCUAAUUCAGGAUCAACUCAGAUGACCAGGUUUCCCCUACCUAGAGUGCUACUUAUUGCAGUGAAAACUUUUCUUCUUUCCAAAAACCUUUAAUUAAACGUUUAAUAACUCCCUGA